GAUGAACGCUGGCGGCGUGCCUAAUACAUGCAAGUCGAGCGAACAGAUGAGGAGCUUGCUCCUCUGACGUUAGCGGCGGACGGGUGAGUAACACGUGGAUAACCUACCUAUAAGACUGGGAUAACUUCGGGAAACCGGAGCUAAUACCGGAUAAUAUAUUGAACCGCAUGGUUCAAUAGUGAAAGACGGUUUUGCUGUCACUUAUAGAUGGAUCCGCGCCGCAUUAGCUAGUUGGUAAGGUAACGGCUUACCAAGGCAACGAUGCGUAGCCGACCUGAGAGGGUGAUCGGCCACACUGGAACUGAGACACGGUCCAGACUCCUACGGGAGGCAGCAGUAGGGAAUCUUCCGCAAUGGGCGAAAGCCUGACGGAGCAACGCCGCGUGAGUGAUGAAGGUCUUCGGAUCGUAAAACUCUGUUAUUAGGGAAGAACAAAUGUGUAAGUAACGAUGCACGUCUUGACGGUACCUAAGCAGAAAGCCACGGCUAACUACGU
Molecule: ribosomal RNA, 496 nt
Filed under: uncultured bacterium
Lineage: Bacteria
Description: partial 16S ribosomal RNA
Rfam family: Bacterial small subunit ribosomal RNA
Source: RNAcentral